AUACAUCUCUUGAGAUGUUUUCCAGCUGAUACGAUAGAAGCAUUCGGAAUAAGCUUAUCCGUUUCCGCUGCGGUACAUCCAUAUCACAGAUUAUUGAGCUGGAGCCGUCAUCGAAAUAAUCCUGGCAAUUGUUGACUCUCCCAAUACCCAUAACAACAAAUUCGCUCCUUGAGCUUGGUAAUAGCAGCAACAGUGAGUACAUAUGUUGGUAAAGCAUGUUUUAUUUUUAGAGUCUGGUCAAGCUUGCGACUCUGUGGCUUAUCCCCUGCAUCCAGACCUCUCCCUGAUUGGGGGAGCGGAAAAUACCCCAGAUCCCCAGAUUUAUUUCAUGUGGUUUAAUCUACGAUGUUUGACGCACGUCGGCAAAUAAUCCUAUUGUGGGUCCUCAGGGACAACUUCUAAUGUCGUGGGAGCGCGGAGGAUCCGAGGGCUCCAUUGCGUCUUGAGUCAGUUCUUGCGCAAACCGCCGAAAGAAAUGCGCCACAA
This 486-nucleotide small RNA is filed under the name Histoplasma ohiense. RNAcentral describes it as "hypothetical lncRNA". The record is from RNAcentral. Lineage: Eukaryota; Fungi; Ascomycota; Eurotiomycetes; Onygenales; Ajellomycetaceae.